CAGGUCUUGACAUCCUUUGAAGCUUUUAGAGAUAGAAGUGUUCUCUUCGGAGACAAAGUGACAGGUGGUGCAUGGUCGUCGUCAGCUCGUGUCGUGAGAUGUUGGGUUAAGUCCCGCAACGAGCGCAACCCUUAUUGUUAGUUGCCAGCAUUCAGUUGGGCACUCUAGCGAGACUGCCGGUGACAAACCGGAGGAAGGCGGGGACGACGUCAGAUCAUCAUGCCCCUUAUGACCUGGGCUACACACGUGCUACAAUGGCGUAUACAACGAGUUGCCAACCUGCGAAGGUGAGCUAAUCUCUUAAAGUACGUCUCAGUUCGGACUGCAGUCUGCAACUCGACUGCUCGAAGUCGGAAUCGCUAGUAAUCGCGGAUCAGCACGCCGCGGUGAAUACGUUCCC
This 400-nucleotide ribosomal RNA is filed under the name uncultured bacterium. RNAcentral describes it as "bacterial SSU rRNA". It matches the Rfam family "Bacterial small subunit ribosomal RNA", at positions 975 to 1375 of the family's 1533-position model. The record is from RNAcentral.